This 598-nucleotide long non-coding RNA is filed under the name Gossypium barbadense (sea-island cotton). Its description in RNAcentral is "long non-coding RNA (GBAR_LNC017514)". Lineage: Eukaryota; Viridiplantae; Streptophyta; Magnoliopsida; Malvales; Malvaceae. The record is from RNAcentral.
UUUCUAAUACAUGAACUGUAUAAAUAUGAAAAUUUAGGGUUUAUAUAGGUUCUCAUGUUCCUUUUUGUUCAACUUUUAGACUUCCUUUCAACUGUGCUUUUGUGUUCAUUUCCAUUCCCUUUAAUCUGUAAGUUUAUUGAAAUCAUGAUCUUUCCAUAUAAACAUUGUUUUCUUAGCUUGAAUAUAUCUUUUUGUGUGUGUGUAUUAUUUAGUUGCUCCAAGUUCUGAUGCUUUAUUUUUGUGGCAAUGUGUCCCAUUUACACUGACUGACAUCCUUCUGCACUUAGAAUUUGUGGUGAAAUAUUUCUCUAUCAAUAGCCUUAUCUUUUGUGUAAGAGUGGGGCAGGAAAUGACCUCAAUAAUUUUGAAAGGUUAAAUCAUUCACAUAAUGCUUCUGAGAAGUCUGUGUACCUAUUCUCUACUCUUUUCCUUAAGAACAAAAGAAUGGGAUUUGAUAUAAUUUCUAUCUUAAAACUUUGGUUUUAGAAUGGUGGUCACAAGUUGGUUUCUCCAUUUUUGCAAGUAUGUGUAGUAUACUUCUUCUAUAUAUUAAUUUGGUGAUUUCAUUUCGUUUCUCAGUUCUUCAGGUUCACGGUGG